Molecule: small RNA, 222 nt
Filed under: Pongo abelii (Sumatran orangutan)
Lineage: Eukaryota; Metazoa; Chordata; Mammalia; Primates; Hominidae
Description: retained intron
Source: RNAcentral
AAAGCCUGCGAGCGCCAGCCGAGAUCGCAGCCCAACCCAUGGCCGGGUCUCCUAGUCGCGCCGCGGGCCGGCGACUGCAGCUUCCCCUGCUGUCCUUCCUCCAGGGCGCCACUGCCGUCCUCUUUGCUGUCUUUGUCCGCUACAACCACAAAACCGACGCUGCCUUCUGGCACCGGGGCAACCACAGUAAUGCGGACAACGAAUUUUACUUUUGCUACCCAA